UGCCAGACUCCUACGGGAGGCAGCAGUGGGGAAUAUUGCACAAUGGGGGAAACCCUGAUGCAGCGACGCCGCGUGAGUGAAGAAGUAUUUCGGUAUGUAAAGCUCUAUCAGCAGGGAAGAUAAUGACGGUACCUGAGUAAGAAGCCCCGGCUAACUACGUGCCAGCAGCCGCGGUAAUACGUAGGGGGCAAGCGUUAUCCGGAUUUACUGGGUGUAAAGGGAGCGUAGACGGCUGUGCAAGCCAGAUGUGAAAGCCCGGGGCUCAACCCCGGGACUGCAUUUGGAACUGUGUGGCUGGAGUGUCGGAGAGGCAGGCGGAAUUCCUAGUGUAGUGGUGAAAUGCGUAGAUAUUAGGAGGAACACCAGUGGCGAAGGCGGCCUGCUGGACGAUGACUGACGUUGAGGCUCGAAAGCGUGGGGAGCAAACAGGAUUAGAUACCCGCGUA
RNAcentral lists this ribosomal RNA (446 nucleotides) under uncultured bacterium. RNAcentral's name for it is "bacterial SSU rRNA". It matches the Rfam family "Bacterial small subunit ribosomal RNA", at positions 329 to 792 of the family's 1533-position model. The record is from RNAcentral.